RNAcentral lists this ribosomal RNA (253 nucleotides) under uncultured bacterium. Its description in RNAcentral is "partial 16S ribosomal RNA". It matches the Rfam family "Bacterial small subunit ribosomal RNA", at positions 524 to 776 of the family's 1533-position model. The record is from RNAcentral.
UACGAAGGGUGCAAGCGUUACUCGGAAUUACUGGGCGGAAAACGUGCGUAAAUGGUGAGUUAAGUCUGUCGUGAAAACCCCGGACUCAACCUGGGAAUGGCGAUGGAUACUGGCUCGCUAGAGUGCGAUAGAGGAGAGUGGAAUUCCCGGUGUAGCAGUGAAAUGCGUAGAGAUCGGGAGGAACAUCAGUUGCGAAAACGGCUCUCUGGACCAGCACUGACACUGAGGCACGAAAGCGUGGGGAGCAAACAGG